AUGGCAGAAAGCGCAGUGAUAGCACCACCACUACAACCAAUGACACCACCGCAACCAAUGGCAGAAAACGCAACGGAGGCACCACCACAACCAAUGGCACCACCGCAACAAAUGGCGGAAAACGCAACGGCCGCACCACCACCACAACCAAUGGCGGAAAACGCAACGGCGGCACCACCACCACAACCAAUGGUGGAAAACGCAACGGUGGUUGUGGUGGUGCCACCACCACCGCCAGACAGCACCACAACAUUCCUCUGCCUCAUCCUCGCCUUCUUCCUCCCUCCCCUCGGCGUUUUCCUCAAGUACAAAUGCGAGAUUGAAUUCUGGAUCUGCCUCAUCCUAACAUUCUUGGCCUACGCGCCGGGCAUCAUCUACGCCGUCUGGGUGAUCGUAAAGUAG
RNAcentral lists this ribosomal RNA (402 nucleotides) under Triticum aestivum (bread wheat). RNAcentral describes it as "partial small subunit ribosomal RNA". The record is from RNAcentral. Lineage: Eukaryota; Viridiplantae; Streptophyta; Magnoliopsida; Poales; Poaceae.